GACGAACGCUGGCGGCGUGCUUAACACAUGCAAGUCGAACGGAAAGGCCCUGCUUGCAGGGUACUCGAGUGGCGAACGGGUGAGUAACACGUGGGUGAUCUGCCCUGCACUUCGGGAUAAGCCUGGGAAACUGGGUCUAAUACCGGAUAGGAGCCAUUUUUAGUGUGAUGGUUGGAAAGUUUUUUCGGUGUAGGAUGAGCUCGCGGCCUAUCAGCUUGUUGGUGGGGUAUGGCCUACCAAGGCGGCGACGGGUAGCCGGCCUGAGAGGGUGGACGGCCACAUUGGGACUGAGAUACGGCCCAGACUCCUACGGGAGGCAGCAGUGGGGAAUAUUGCACAAUGGGCGCAAGCCUGAUGCAGCGACGCCGCGUGGGGGAUGACGGCCUUCGGGUUGUAAACUCCUUUCGCUAGGGACGAAGCUUUUUGUGACGGUACCUAGAUAAGAAGCACCGGCUAACUACGUG
Molecule: ribosomal RNA, 464 nt
Filed under: uncultured bacterium
Lineage: Bacteria
Description: partial 16S ribosomal RNA
Rfam family: Bacterial small subunit ribosomal RNA
Source: RNAcentral